UACGGAGGGUGCAAGCGUUAUUCGGAAUUACUGGGCGUAAAGCGCGUGUAGGCGGGAAAGCAAGUCUGAUGUGAAAGCCCCGGGCUUAACCUGGGAAGUGCAUUGGAAACUGUUUUUCUUGAGUACUGGAGAGGAAGGGAGAAUUCCCGGUGUAGAGGUGAAAUUCGUAGAGAUCGGGAGGAACACCAGUGGCGAAGGCGCCCUUCUGGACGGCUACUGACGCUGAGACGCGAAAGCGUGGGGAG
RNAcentral lists this ribosomal RNA (245 nucleotides) under uncultured Desulfovirga sp. RNAcentral's name for it is "partial 16S ribosomal RNA". It matches the Rfam family "Bacterial small subunit ribosomal RNA", at positions 524 to 768 of the family's 1533-position model. The record is from RNAcentral. Lineage: Bacteria; Pseudomonadati; Thermodesulfobacteriota; Syntrophobacteria; Syntrophobacterales; Syntrophobacteraceae.